This 67-nucleotide transfer RNA is filed under the name Ladona fulva (scarce chaser). RNAcentral's name for it is "tRNA-Asp". Lineage: Eukaryota; Metazoa; Arthropoda; Insecta; Odonata; Libellulidae. The record is from RNAcentral.
AAGAAAUUAGUUAAAAUAUAACCUUAGUUUGUCAAACUAAAAUUAUUUAUUAUAUAAAUAUUUCUUA